GUGAUUUUGGAGAGUGGUAAAUAUAAUCUGUGGAAACCAUAUAAAAUGUACAUGAUUAUUGCAGCCAGCCAACGAAUUCUAAAGUAAUGGGUAAAUUGUACAUAUGCUACCCAUUCGUCAACAGUAAGAACCAUCACAUAGAAAAAUGCAGUAAAAUAUACCCCCAAACCGUGAGUUUUUUUGCUUUUAAAUUGCGCAUGCGUGAGCCCGCGUUUUGAGUGAGUGUGGUCGACGCUGGAUCCUCUCUCUGGCUGCCAUCGAACAGCAGAAGUGAAGGCAGAGUCUGUGUAUGUGGACACUCACUAUUUGCCCUCUCUUCAGUUCCUCUUGUCUGUCCUCCACAAGCAGAGACUCACUGAUAGACCACUGUUACCAGUUCUAGUGUUGACACAUCCACCCACGUCCCCACCACAAGUGUAUCCUGUACAGCUGAGGAAACACACACCAAACAACAAUGGCGGUCCAUUUAAGAGUCGUUUUAGAAGAACACAACAUUCAAAAGCUGAAACUUCCAACAGGAAUUCCAAAUACAGUGGAAGAUCUUGUUUCCAUAGUUACUGAAACUUUUCAAUUGCAUGGGGAAAUUGGACUACUAUAC
Cyprinus carpio (common carp) is the source of this 598-nucleotide long non-coding RNA. RefSeq lists it as uncharacterized. NCBI's taxonomy places the organism in Eukaryota, Metazoa, Chordata, Actinopteri, Cypriniformes, Cyprinidae. The transcript is spliced from 3 exons. The record is from RefSeq and is a predicted model, not a curated record.